RNAcentral lists this ribosomal RNA (541 nucleotides) under uncultured eukaryote. Its description in RNAcentral is "SSU rRNA". It matches the Rfam family "Eukaryotic small subunit ribosomal RNA", at positions 202 to 746 of the family's 1831-position model. The record is from RNAcentral.
UGUAUUUAUUAGAUUAAAAACCAAUGCCCUUCGGGGCUCACUGGUGAUUCAUGAUAACUCCUCGAAUCGCAUGGCCUUGUGCCGGCGAUGGUUCAUUCAAAUUUCUUCCCUAUCAACUUUCGAUGUUUGGGUAUUGGCCAAACAUGGUUGCAACGGGUAACGGAGGGUUAGGGCUCGACCCCGGAGAAGGAGCCUGAGAAACGGCUACUACAUCCAAGGAAGGCAGCAGGCGCGCAAAUUACCCAAUCCCGACACGGGGAGGUAGUGACAAUAAAUACUGAUACAGGGCUCUUUUGGGUCUUGUAAUUGGAAUGAGUACAAUUUAAAUCCCUUAACGAGGAACAAUUGGAGGGCAAGUCUGGUGCCAGCAGCCGCGGUAAUUCCAGCUCCAAUAGCGUAUAUUAAAGUUGUUGUGGUUAAAAAGCUCGUAGUUGAACCUUGGGCCUGGCUGGCCGGUCCGCCUCACCGCGUGUACUGGUCCGGCCGGGCCUUUCCCUCUGUGGAACCCCAUGCCCUUCACUGGGUGUGGCGGGGAACCAGG